Molecule: ribosomal RNA, 332 nt
Filed under: uncultured bacterium
Lineage: Bacteria
Description: bacterial SSU rRNA
Rfam family: Bacterial small subunit ribosomal RNA
Source: RNAcentral
ACAUACACUUCAGAGUUUGAUCCUGGCUCAGGAUGAACGCUGGCGGCGUGCUUAACACAUGCAAGUCGAACGGACUAUAUUUCGGUAUAGUUAGUGGCGGACGGGUGAGUAACGCGUGGGUAACCUGCCUCACACUGGGGGAUAACAGUUAGAAAUAGCUGCUAAUACCGCAUAAGCGCACAAAGUCGCAUGACUUAGUGUGAAAAACUCCGGUGGUGUGAGAUGGACCCGCGUCUGAUUAGCUAGUUGGUGAGGUAACGGCCCACCAAGGCGACGAUCAGUAGCCGGCCUGAGAGGGUGAACGGCCACAUUGGGACUGAGACACGGCCCAA